UACGUAGGUGGCAAGCGUUGUCCGGAUUUACUGGGCGUAAAGAGCGCGCAGGCGGUCGUUCAAGUCGCGUGUGAAAGCCCCCGGCUCAACUGGGGAGGGUCACGCGAUACUGAUCGACUCGAAGGCAGGAGAGGGAAGUGGAAUUCCCGGUGUAGUGGUGAAAUGCGUAGAUAUCGGGAGGAACACCAGUGGCGAAGGCGGGUCUCUGGACAGUUCCUGACACUGAGGCACGAAGGCCAGGGGAGCAAACGGG
Molecule: ribosomal RNA, 253 nt
Filed under: uncultured bacterium
Lineage: Bacteria
Description: partial 16S ribosomal RNA
Rfam family: Bacterial small subunit ribosomal RNA
Source: RNAcentral